AGGACGAACGCUGGCGGCGUGCCUAACACAUGCAGGUCGAACGGAGAUCAUUUAGUUGAGAUUUCGGUUGAUUCUAUAUGAUCUUAGUGGCGGACGGGUGAGUAACGCGUGAGUAACCUGCCGAUGAGAGUGGAAAUAACGUUCUAGAAAAAGAACGCUAAUACCGCAUAACAUAUCUUUGCCGCAUGACAGAGAUAUACAAAGAUUUUAUCGCUCAUUGAUGGACUCGCGUCCGAUUAGCCAGUUGGCGGGGUAACGGCCCACCAAAGCGACGAUCGGUAGCCGGACUGAGAGGUUGAACGGCCACAUUGGGACUGAGACACGGCCCAGACUCCUACGGGAGGCAGCAGGUGGGGGAUUAUUGCGACAAGUCGGGGGAAACCCUGACGCAGCAACGCCGCGUGAAGGAAGUACGGUUUUCGGAUUAGUAAACUUCUUUUGUUAAGGACGAAGAAAGUGACGGUACUUAACGAAUAAGCUCCGGCUAACUACGUGCCAGCCGCCGC
RNAcentral lists this ribosomal RNA (506 nucleotides) under uncultured bacterium. RNAcentral describes it as "bacterial SSU rRNA". It matches the Rfam family "Bacterial small subunit ribosomal RNA", at positions 26 to 518 of the family's 1533-position model. The record is from RNAcentral.